This is a long non-coding RNA of Archocentrus centrarchus (flier cichlid), 742 nucleotides long. RefSeq lists it as uncharacterized. The transcript has 3 exons. The record is from RefSeq and is a predicted model, not a curated record. Lineage: Eukaryota; Metazoa; Chordata; Actinopteri; Cichliformes; Cichlidae.
UCAGGACCGCUCCGAGCCUCGGUUAGCUAACGCAAUGGCUGCCACGAGUUCGGGCGGAACUAUGAAACCACAGGUCAUUUCCAGGCUUGUAUGUCAAAAGAAAAGGAAAAAAACGCUUUUCCCCCUUACAACCUGCUCCAGGGAAGGCUAAGACCUGUAAGCCAUUCAUUGUGUACGUAUAUUUAGUGAACAGGGGCAGUACCAGCACUCCCUCUGCUACUGAAGAGUUGGAGUUGACCCAAGCAGGUUUGGGAAAGCGAUCCCUCACCUUGGCAGAUGAUAUGAAUCAUACAAUGAUCAGCAGGAAGCUGAAGAGGUAUGUGGGCCUAUGCCACAAGAGCUACAAGCUGAAGAUCAAGGAGGACACUGGAGUCAAAAUCAGCCCUCAAGAAUGUCUGUCCCAACAGUCAUGCAGUGGUUAACUGGACAAAGGCACAAACCCCUUCUUCCAUCAGAGAGGGCAGAUUUUAAAAUAAAUGUCAGAUUUGACCACCUGUGUAAGGAAAAAAAAUCCUGGUCACCACAUUUGCUACCCUCUUGUUAGUGCUUGCACAAAUACAGUAACUUUCCCUGUGGCACAUAUGAAUACAUACACUGAGUUCAGAGAUGUGAUAACAACAGCAAUCAGAAUGGGUGGAGCUUUCGGUCGACUCUAAAGCCUCUGGUGGUUCAUUUGUACUCAUGUUGCACCUGUUACAGGCAGCCAGUCAUUAGAUGAUACAAACUUUUCUAAAGAAUGUUG